RNAcentral lists this unclassified non-coding RNA (330 nucleotides) under soil metagenome. RNAcentral describes it as "partial contains 5.8S ribosomal RNA, internal transcribed spacer 2, and large subunit ribosomal RNA". The stretch from base 1 to 120 matches the Rfam family "5.8S ribosomal RNA", at positions 35 to 154 of the family's 154-position model. The record is from RNAcentral.
GAUGAAGAACGUAGCGAAAUGCGAUAAGUAGUGUGAAUUGCAGAAUUCAGUGAAUCAUCGAAUCUUUGAACGCACAUUGCGCCCCUUGGUAUUCCAUGGGGCAUGCCUGUUCGAGCGUCAUUUGUACCCUCAAGCUUUGCUUGGUGUUGGGCGUCUUGUCGUAUUACGACUCGCCUUAAAUACAUUGGCAGCCGGCACUUUGGCCUAGGAGCGCAGCACAUUUUGCGAUCGUAGCCCGUUGUACUGGCGUACAUCAAGAACAUUUACCACGUUUGACCUCGGAUCAGGUAGGGAUACCCGCUGAACUUAAGCAUAUCAAUAAGCGGAGGA